Molecule: ribosomal RNA, 252 nt
Filed under: uncultured bacterium
Lineage: Bacteria
Description: partial 16S ribosomal RNA
Rfam family: Bacterial small subunit ribosomal RNA
Source: RNAcentral
ACGAACUGUCCAAACGUUGUUCGGAAUCACUGGGCUUAAAGGGCGCGUAGGCGGUCGAUCAAGUCAGGGGUGAAAUCCUGCAGCUUAACUGUAGAAGUGCCUUUGAUACUGGUCGUCUCGAGGGAGGUAGGGGUGUGUGGAACUUCCAGUGGAGCGGUGAAAUGCGUUGAUAUUGGAAGGAACGCCGGAGGCGAAAGCGACGCACUGGACCUCUUCUGACGCUGAGGCGCGAAAGCUAGGGGAGCAAACGGG